This 460-nucleotide ribosomal RNA is filed under the name uncultured bacterium. Its description in RNAcentral is "partial 16S ribosomal RNA". It matches the Rfam family "Bacterial small subunit ribosomal RNA", at positions 338 to 795 of the family's 1533-position model. The record is from RNAcentral.
CCUACGUGUGGCAGCAGUGAGGAAUAUUGGUCAAUGGGCGAGAGCCUGAACCAGCCAAGUCGCGUGAAGGAGGAAGGAUUUAUGGUUUGUAAACUUCUUUUAUAUGGGAAUAAAGUGAGUAACGUGUUUAUUUUUGCAUGUACGAUAUGAAUAAGCAUCGGCUAACUUCGUGCCAGCAGCCGCGGUAAUACGGAGGAUGCGAGAGUUAUCCGGAUUUAUUGGGUUUAAAGGGAGCGUAGGUGGUUAAUUAAGUCAGCGGUGAAAGUUUGUGGCUCAACCAUAAAGUUGACGUUGAAACUGGUUGACUUGAGUAUAUUUGAGGUAGGCGGAAUGCGUGGUGUAGCGGUGAAAUGCAUAGAUAUCACGCAGAACUCCGAUUGCGAAGGCAGCUUACUAAACUAUAACUGACACUGAAGCACGAAAGCGUGGGGAUCAAACAGGAUUAGAUACCCGAGUAGUC